Long non-coding RNA from Rosa chinensis, 540 nucleotides. RefSeq lists it as uncharacterized. Lineage: Eukaryota; Viridiplantae; Streptophyta; Magnoliopsida; Rosales; Rosaceae. The transcript is spliced from 3 exons. The record is from RefSeq and is a predicted model, not a curated record.
UUGGCAAUAGAGUUAUUAUGAUUAUUGAAGGCAUUUUGUGGACUCUUACCUUAGGGUUAUUAUUAUUAAUAUUUCUAUGACAAUUGGACCGACUAUCCAAUUUAAAAAUGAGUCUUUCUGGUCAGUUCAUUGAUUUUAAAAUCUAUCACACUUUUACAUUCUCUCAAAACAAUUUCAGCAGAAUGUAAUGUUAUGAUAAAUAGAAUUACAUUUCCCAUGUUCUUAUAUGCAGUCACUUUAUGGGGGAAGACCUCCAAUCCCUUAAGUAUGAAAGAGCUUCUGAUUUGGAGCAGCAACUUAACUCUGAAGCACAUAAGAUCUAGAAAGCCAGGGUGAGAGCAUUUUAUCAUGGAUUGGAGAUGAUUAUGUUGUUAUAGAUUAUAAGACUGCUGCACAUCUUGAGAAUCAUUUGAUCAAUUUGGAUGAAAAGAAGUUUGGUAUCAACCCCUAACAAAAAUCGAAAGAGGUAACUUUCUAUACUUACUGCUUUUACAUACAAGUUGUAUAUUUCCUACUUGGUAUUGUGGAUUACAUUCCAAA